GUAGGGUGCAAGCGUUAAUCGGAAUUACUGGGCGUAAAGCGUGCGCAGGCGGUUGUGCAAGACAGGUGUGAAAUCCCCGGGCUUAACCUGGGAACUGCACUUGUGACUGCACGGCUGGAGUGCGGCAGAGGGGGAUGGAAUUCCGCGUGUAGCAGUGAAAUGCGUAGAUAUGCGGAGGAACACCGAUGGCGAAGGCAAUCCCCUGGGCCUGCACUGACGCUCAUGCACGAAAGCGUGGGGAGCAAAC
This 247-nucleotide ribosomal RNA is filed under the name uncultured Rubrivivax sp. RNAcentral's name for it is "partial 16S ribosomal RNA". It matches the Rfam family "Bacterial small subunit ribosomal RNA", at positions 527 to 773 of the family's 1533-position model. Lineage: Bacteria; Pseudomonadati; Pseudomonadota; Betaproteobacteria; Burkholderiales; Sphaerotilaceae. The record is from RNAcentral.